AAAGGAAUUGACGGGGGCCCGCACAAGCAGUGGAGUAUGUGGUUUAAUUCGAAGCAACGCGAAGAACCUUACCAGGUCUUGACAUCCUAGGAAUCUUUAAGAGAUUAGAGAGUGCCCUUCGGGGAACCUAGAGACAGGUGGUGCAUGGUUGUCGUCAGCUCGUGUCGUGAGAUGUUGGGUUAAGUCCCGCAACGAGCGCAACCCUUAUGUUUAGUUGCUACGCAAGAGCACUCUAGACAGACUGCCGUUGACAAAACGGAGGAAGGUGGGGAUGACGUCAAAUCAUCAUGCCCUUUAUGACCUGGGCUACACACGUACUACAAUGGCUGUUAACAGAGGGAAGCAACACAGCGAUGUGAAGCAAAACCCAAAAAGCAGUCUUAGUUCGGAUUGCAGGCUGAAACUCGCCUGCAUGAAGUCGGAAUUGCUAGUAAUCGCAGAUCAGCAUGCUGCGGUGAAUACGUUCCCGGGCCUUGUACACACCGCCCGU
This 490-nucleotide ribosomal RNA is filed under the name uncultured bacterium. RNAcentral's name for it is "bacterial SSU rRNA". It matches the Rfam family "Bacterial small subunit ribosomal RNA", at positions 903 to 1397 of the family's 1533-position model. The record is from RNAcentral.